UUGUGAUAACGCCGUGACAUUUAACGCAUUUGUGCUUCUUAGUAUCGGACAAAUGGACAUAAAUAGCUUUUAUGACUCAUAUAAUUUUCAGUACAUUAACCCGCAGCCCUUUUAAGUACCCCGUGAACAUGAACAAUGGAAUCUUAACGGACAAGAGCAUAAGGCAGCUGAGCACUUUCACUGUUCGCCGGCCAAGCGACGACAUGAGGGAGAUGAAGGUUGUAUCGUUACUCAUGGAAGAUUUAUGGAUGAGUACUAUCACAAGAAAAGGAAGGUGUUGUAGCGGAGCUCAAACAAAAGGAAAAAACUUGACCACUAAAUGGAAAGGAAAAAAGGAGAAGAAAAAAAUAUUUUGUACAAUCCUCGAAUCUGGUUUUCACUGUGCUAAUUGUAGGGCUCUUGUUGACACGCCCUUUCUCUAAUCAGUCUAAUUUGGAAUUAGAAAACUUUUAUCUGA
Long non-coding RNA from Penaeus monodon (black tiger shrimp), 457 nucleotides. RefSeq lists it as uncharacterized. Lineage: Eukaryota; Metazoa; Arthropoda; Malacostraca; Decapoda; Penaeidae. The record is from RefSeq and is a predicted model, not a curated record. The transcript is spliced from 2 exons.